GAUUUCAGGGUAGAGUCACAGAACACCGGGGAAACAAGCUGCAAGAAGCCUAUGACGUGAUAACCACAAGACUUUUUUUUAAUUGUUUUCUGUUGAAGGAGGAAAACUGUCUUUUUGACCUCAAGCAAUGAGUCAUUAAUUUAUGGCAGCAGUGAAAGCUUAUUUGAUACCCUCUGUUUUGUAUGUUUUAAAUAAAGUAAGAGUAAGCAGCUCUCAACAACCAAAAAAGGUUAUUGGACCAUUUUGGUGGCAUUGUCAAACUGCACCUCACCACCC
Pelobates cultripes (western spadefoot toad) is the source of this 276-nucleotide non-coding RNA. NCBI's taxonomy places the organism in Eukaryota, Metazoa, Chordata, Amphibia, Anura, Pelobatidae. The record is from the annotation of a GenBank genome assembly.